This 533-nucleotide ribosomal RNA is filed under the name uncultured bacterium. RNAcentral describes it as "bacterial SSU rRNA". It matches the Rfam family "Bacterial small subunit ribosomal RNA", at positions 773 to 1308 of the family's 1533-position model. The record is from RNAcentral.
ACGGAAUAGAUACCCGGGUAGUCCACGCCCUAAACGAUGUCGACUAGGUGUUCGGUGAGGAGACUCAUUGAGUACCGCAGCUAAACGCGUGAAGUCGACCGCCUGGGGAGUACGGUCGCAAGAUUAAAACUCAAAGGAAUUGACGGGGACCCGCACAAGCGGUGGAUGAUGUGGAUUAAUUCGAUGCAACGCGAAAACCUUACCUACCCUUGACAUGUACGGAACCCUGCUGAGAGGUGGGGGUGCUCGAAAGAGAGCCGUAACACAGGUGCUGCAUGGCUGUCGUCAGCUCGUGUCGUGAGAUGUUGGGUUAAGUCCCGCAACGAGCGCAACCCUUAUCAUUAGUUGCUACGCAAGAGCACUCUAAUGAGACUGCCGGUGACAAACCGGAGAAAGGUGGGGAUGACGUCAAGUCCUCAUGGCCCUUAUGGGUAGGGCUUCACACGUCAUACAAUGGUCGGUACAGAGGGUUUGCCAAGCCGCGAGGUGGAGCCAAUCCCAGAAAGCCGAUCGUAGUCCGGAUCGCAGUCUGC